GUGAAUGAUUCCAUGAUUGCGAUGCCUGCAGAUCCCAGUGAGGUGCACCAUUCCCCACUCUGUCACUCUGCUGGGGCCUGGGAGGCUGGGAGGGAGAAUUCCAGGUGAGUGUGCCUCCAGCAGAGCCUGAGCUGCCAUGGUGAAGCCAGAACCAGACGUGGUCCUGUGCACACUGAGCUCUUCUCCCUGUGAGUGGCUUAGCCCUGCAGAGCCCUCUGUGCUGACCACACCUGUCCCCUUCAUUCCUGGGCAGGAGGGGCUGAGACUGGGGAUUUUGUGUGGAUCUGGAGCCCCAUUUGGAUCUGGAGCCCCCGUUUGGAUCCUGAGCUCUUUGGAUCUGUAGUUUGGACCUCAAAUUUCUGUGUGGAUCUGGAGCCCCUGUUUGGAUCUAGAGUUUCUGUUUGGAUCAGUAGUUUCUGUGUGGAUCUAGAGCCUCAUUUGGAUCUGGAGCCCCUGUUUGGAUCUGGAGCACCCAGUUGGAUCUGGAGUUUCUGUUUGGAUCUGGACGCCCAUUUGGAUUUAGAGUUUCUGUGUGGGUCUGGAGCCCCUGAUUGGGUCUGGAACUCCCAUCUGGGUCUGGAGCCCCAUUUGGAUCUGGACCCCUGUUUGGAUCUGGAGCCCCUGUCUGGAUCCGGAAACCCUGUUUGGAUCUGGAGUUUCUGUGUGGAUCUGGAGCUCCUGUUUACGUCUGGAACCCCCAUCUGGGUCUGGAGUUUCUUUGUGUAUCUAGAGCCCCUGACUGGAUCUAGAGCCUCAUUUGGAUCUGGAGUCCCUGUUUGGAUCUGGAGCCACCAUUUAAAUCUGGAGCUCCUGUGUGGAUCUGGAACCCCCAUUUGGGUCUGGAGCCCCUGGAUGCACCCCUGCUUGGAGGUGGCUUGUGCUGCUCCCUGGCUGAGCCCAGCCCCAUGGCCAGGAGCCCAGGCAGGUCCCUGCCUGCCCACCCCCAAAUCUGGCUGCAAUUUGUGCUGGCUUGGAGCAGCAGCAGCCCCAGAAUGGGAAACACAGCCCCUUUUCCUCGUGCUUUGCAGGCAGGAAAACCGAGCUGGGGUUUCGCCCUGGAUGCUCCCAGGGCUGCCUGGCUGGGAACAGCUCAUGGGCCAGGAAUGUGGGAUCGCUGCUAUUUUCCCACUUCAAUCCAGAGGAAAAUGGAUCAGCUGCUAAUUAGCAGCAGGGGAACUGGCUGCAGGUUUAUUAGGAUUUUCCCCUUCUCCAGAAGUGCCUGAUUAACAGAGAGGCUUCGAAACGCCCGGAAUUCUUUCAAUCCUGCACAAAGAGCAUGGCCAGUGCCCCGAGGAUGAAUAAAUCAGGGCGAAAGGAUUGUGCA
Molecule: long non-coding RNA, 1324 nt
Filed under: Zonotrichia albicollis (white-throated sparrow)
Lineage: Eukaryota; Metazoa; Chordata; Aves; Passeriformes; Passerellidae
Description: lncRNA (ENSZALG00000010918.1)
Source: RNAcentral